AUCCAGCUGACGAGUCCCAAAACAGGACGAAACGCGCGUCCUGGAU
Non-coding RNA from Schistosoma margrebowiei, 46 nucleotides. The record is from Rfam. Lineage: Eukaryota; Metazoa; Platyhelminthes; Trematoda; Strigeidida; Schistosomatidae.